RNAcentral lists this ribosomal RNA (119 nucleotides) under Pteropus alecto (black flying fox). The record is from RNAcentral. Lineage: Eukaryota; Metazoa; Chordata; Mammalia; Chiroptera; Pteropodidae.
GGCUACGGCCAUGCUACCCUGAACAAACCUGAUCCCAUCUGAUCUCGGAAGCUAAGCAGGUUCGGGCCUGGUUAGUACUUGGAUGGGAGACCACUUAGGAAGACCAGGUGCUGAAGGCA